Molecule: non-coding RNA, 73 nt
Organism: Protopterus annectens (West African lungfish)
Lineage: Eukaryota; Metazoa; Chordata; Ceratodontiformes; Protopteridae
Source: the annotation of a RefSeq genome assembly
GCCAAAAUAGCUCAGUUGGGAGAGCGUUAAACUGAAGAUCUAAGGGUCCCUGAUUCAAUCCCAUGUUUCGGCA